Molecule: unclassified non-coding RNA, 988 nt
Filed under: Hevea brasiliensis (rubber tree)
Lineage: Eukaryota; Viridiplantae; Streptophyta; Magnoliopsida; Malpighiales; Euphorbiaceae
Source: RNAcentral
GGUUUAUGAUAUUCUGGAUGGAGUUGGGGAUGUUUCGGCGGCCGCCCCGGGGCUCGCCCUGGCUCUGGCUCCAUCGACGGAGCCGGCGGAGGAUAUGGAGGCGGUAUUCGAUAGCGGGAGGAGCGCGGCGGCUGAAGAUGGGCUCUUUUCGGACUUUGAGGAGGCCGGCGGGAGCCCCGAAAAGGGGCCAGCUGCUGGUGCUGCUAAGGAGGUUCCACCAAUAAAGGCGGCAGCAGUGGGAGUUGCUGCUCCUGUACCCAUUUCAGAGAAGCAGUACCAACCAACUCUUCAAGCAGAUCAAGCUCAAGGUACAGCAAAUGAGAAACAGCCAGCUUCCAAUCCUGAAGUGGGUUUGGGUUCUGCCUCACAUGAGAGUCGGAAACGGAGACGGUUCACAACAGAUGGGAAUGAAGAAACGAUCAAUGUCCAGAAUCAUUUGAUUGGUGUCUUGGAAAAGAAUGGUAAGAUGCUGACUGCUCAACUUGAAGCGCAGAACACCAAUUUCCAAUUGGACCGGGAGCAGCGGAAGGACCAUGCAGAUGGCGUGGUUGCUGUUCUUAAUAAGCUUGCAGAUGCUCUUGGAAAAAUCGCUGAUAAAUUGUAGCAAAAGGCAAUCUGAAGACUGUACAUAAUGAAGCUUCUCUCUUAGUUCCAUACAAGAUAGAUGAGGUUGAAGUAUUGGUGAAUUAAUUUUGAAGAAUUUUUCUAGGAUCACAUUCAAGAUGGUUUCACAUCCUUUUUUGUUUUCUCCCAUUUUCUGAAUAUUUUUCCUUUACAUUUCGACACUUGGUGGCUCAGCGCCGCGUAUAGGGUCUAUACACAGGUAAUAAAGUUGUGGAUUUUAGAGUAAAUAAUACCACAUUUUGUUACUUAUCCAGAGAGUUUAUAUAGAUCUUGAUUCCCUGUUUGAAGUUCGGGAGAUUUGUACAGGUUACUGCUUAUGUUUUAAAUCUGUAGUGCAAAUUAAAUCUUCUCAUUUCUAUGAUUA